UUAUUAAUAUAGCUUUUAUAGUUUAAAUAAAACAUUGAUUUUGUAUAUCAAAAAUAGUAAAUAACUUAAUUGCUUC
This 76-nucleotide transfer RNA is filed under the name Cysteochila lineata. RNAcentral's name for it is "tRNA-Thr". Lineage: Eukaryota; Metazoa; Arthropoda; Insecta; Hemiptera; Tingidae. The record is from RNAcentral.